GAGAUAUUAGUAAAGCAUUACAUGACUUUGUCGAAGUCAAAUCAUAGGAUAACCCCCUAUAUAUCUC
RNAcentral lists this transfer RNA (67 nucleotides) under Jaculus jaculus (lesser Egyptian jerboa). Its description in RNAcentral is "tRNA (ENSJJAG00000000018.1)". The record is from RNAcentral. Lineage: Eukaryota; Metazoa; Chordata; Mammalia; Rodentia; Dipodidae.